AUGGGCGRAAGCCUGAUGCAGCGACGCCGCGUGGGGGAUGACGGUCUUCGGAUUGUAAACCCCUUUCAGUAGGGACGAUUCGCAAGUGACGGUACCUGCAGAAGAAGCACCGGCCAACUACGUGCCAGCAGCCGCGGUAAUACGUAGGGUGCGAGCGUUGUCCGGAAUUACUGGGCGUAAAGAGCUCGUAGGCGGUUUGUCGCGUCGUCCGUGAAAACUCGGAGCUUAACUCCGAGCUUGCGGGCGAUACGGGCAGACUUGAGUACUACAGGGGAGACUGGAAUUCCUGGUGUAGCGGUGAAAUGCGCAGAUAUCAGGAGGAACACCGGUGGCGAAGGCGGGUCUAUGGGUAGUAACUGACGCUGAGGAGCGAAAGCAUGGGUAGCGAACAGGAUUAGAUACCCUGGUAGUCCAUGCCGUAAACGGUGGGCGCUAGGUGUGGGGUCCUUCCACGGAUUCCGUGCCGUAGCUAACGCAUUAAGCGCCCCGCCUGGGGAGUACGGCCGCAAUGCUAAAACUCAAAGGAAUUGACGGGG
This 536-nucleotide ribosomal RNA is filed under the name Dietzia papillomatosis. RNAcentral's name for it is "bacterial SSU rRNA". It matches the Rfam family "Bacterial small subunit ribosomal RNA", at positions 371 to 918 of the family's 1533-position model. Lineage: Bacteria; Bacillati; Actinomycetota; Actinomycetes; Mycobacteriales; Dietziaceae. The record is from RNAcentral.